RNAcentral lists this transfer RNA (77 nucleotides) under Paracoccaceae bacterium. RNAcentral describes it as "Rhodobacteraceae bacterium (marine sediment metagenome) tRNA-Pro". It matches the Rfam family "tRNA". Rfam says of the family: Transfer RNA (tRNA) molecules are approximately 80 nucleotides in length. Lineage: Bacteria; Pseudomonadati; Pseudomonadota; Alphaproteobacteria; Rhodobacterales; Paracoccaceae. RNAcentral also lists the same sequence under 2 other names. The record is from RNAcentral.
CGGGCUAUAGCGCAGUCUGGUAGCGCGUCCGUCUGGGGGACGGAAGGUCGUGAGUUCGAAUCUCGCUAGCCCGACCA